Molecule: long non-coding RNA, 1125 nt
Organism: Nilaparvata lugens (brown planthopper)
Lineage: Eukaryota; Metazoa; Arthropoda; Insecta; Hemiptera; Delphacidae
Exons: 3
Source: RefSeq, a predicted model, not a curated record
UAGGCGAUUGAUUACAAGUUUCCAUUCUGUAUAUUCUGUGGCAUGAUCGCAUGUGGGUGGAAGCCGGAAAAGUGAUAUCAACUCAACUUGUGCGUUUCUCCUAAAAGAGAAUACAAAUAAGUAGCCAGUAACUGUUGAUUGGGCAUUCGGCUUUGGCCUACUGAUGAUGACAGCAAGAACACGAGAUAGUGGACCAUUAGACAGCUGGGAGAUUUUGCCUUCGCCUACAAUCAAGUGAAUGAAGUGACUUGAAGUUGGUGACACAGUCUAGUUUCAUCAUGAAUAACUCGACAAGUGUGAUGGAUUGGACCUACGAGUCAGUGAUGAGCUCAUUGAUGAGGGAUCUAUCAUCAUCACCACCAACAUUGCCUGAAUCUGUGUCAAGUGAAACUCAGCGUUUCACUUGUUUGGUUAUUGAGAAAGAAAAUUCUCCCAUAGCAAGCCAAGAACUCAAGAGGCUAUCCCAAUCGAUGAGGGACACUUACAUGGAUGCAUCAUGCAAAGUAGCUCUAGUGAUUCAGCUCAGACUAACUGUAAUUCUUCGUUAUUGAAUGAUCAGCAUUUGCCUACCCCAUUGACUAUUCAUCCAAACGACGCUGGGGCUGUGGAUGGUGGAGAAAUUGCUGAUGUCAAGUGUUUCAAAAGUGAAUGUUAUUACUGUCAGAUCACCUCACCUGAAAGUAUCAGGGCGACUAGGCUAGAUUUCAUUCAAAAUUCAACAAAGUCGAAAACAACUACCUUUAUUGGAUCUGAAUCAGAUAAAGCCCUAUUCUCAAAUGAAUUGAUCAAGUUAGUACAAGCUCUCAAAGAUACCAAAAUCACAUCACUCAAUCUGAGUGGCAAUGAUAUAGAUUGUGAUUUGAUAAUUGAUCUAGCACAAUACUUGUCCAGCACACAAAUCAAAACACUUGAUUUGAGUGAAAAUAGAAUUGGGCACAAAGGUUUCGAGUAUUUUAAUGAAAUUCUAAAAGAAACUAAAAUAUCCUCACUGAAUGUGAGUAAAAACUCUGUAGGGCAAUUCUUUGCAUGCAAAAACAAUUCAUCUUCAGUUGAACAUAGUAGUGAGUGUUCCCAUGCUAAGAUUUUUGAAAACUCUGCUUCAACAUAUCUUGAUCUAAGUCACUC